This 805-nucleotide ribosomal RNA is filed under the name Penicillium citrinum. RNAcentral describes it as "partial large subunit ribosomal RNA". It matches the Rfam family "Eukaryotic large subunit ribosomal RNA", at positions 42 to 864 of the family's 3401-position model. Lineage: Eukaryota; Fungi; Ascomycota; Eurotiomycetes; Eurotiales; Aspergillaceae. The record is from RNAcentral.
AUGUGUAGGGGGGGAAGAACCAACCGGGGGAUUGCCCUAGUAACGGCGAGUGAAGCGGCAAGAGCUCAAAUUUGAAAGCUGGCCCCCUCGGGGUCCGCAUUGUAAUUUGCAGAGGAUGCUUCGGGAACGGCCCCCAUCUAAGUGCCCUGGAACGGGCCGUCAUAGAGGGUGAGAAUCCCGUCUGGGAUGGGGUGGCCGCGCCCGUGUGAAGCUCCUUCGACGAGUCGAGUUGUUUGGGAAUGCAGCUCUAAUUGGGUGGUAAAUUUCAUCUAAAGCUAAAUAUUGGCCGGAGACCGAUAGCGCACAAGUAGAGUGAUCGAAAGAUGAAAAGCACUUUGAAAAGAGAGUUAAACAGCACGUGAAAUUGUUGAAAGGGAAGCGCUUGCGACCAGACUCGCCCGCGGGGUUCAGCCGGCACUCGUGCCGGUGUACUUCCCCGCGGGCGGGCCAGCGUCGGUUUGGGCGGCCGGUCAAAGGCCUCUGGAAGGUAACGCCUCUCGGGGCGUCUUAUAGCCAGGGGUGCCAUGCGGCCUGCCCGGACCGAGGAACGCGCUUCGGCUCGGACGCUGGCAUAAUGGUCGUAAGCGACCCGUCUUGAAACACGGACCAAGGAGUCUAACAUCUACGCGAGUGUUUCGGGUGUCAAACCCGUGCGCGCAGUGAAAGCGAACGGAGGUGGGAACCCCCCCGGGGUGCACCAUCGACCGAUCCUGAUGUCUUCGGAUGGAUUUGAGUAAGAGCGUAGCUGUUGGGACCCGAAAGAUGGUGAACUAUGCCUGAAUAGGGGCGAAGCCAGAGGAUACUC